GACGAACCGUGCGAACGUUGUUCGGAAUCACUGGGCUUAAAGGGCGCGUAGGCGGGCCGGCCAGUCAGGGGUGAAAGCCCGCGGCUCAACCGCGGAAGCGCCUCUGAUACUGCCGGCCUGGAGGGGGGUAGGGGCGCGCGGAACUUCCGGUGGAGCGGUGAAAUGCGUAGAUAUCGGAAGGAACGCCGGUGGCGAAAGCGGCGCGCUGGACCCCGCCUGACGCUGAGGCGCGAAAGCCAGGGGAGCGAACGGG
RNAcentral lists this ribosomal RNA (253 nucleotides) under uncultured bacterium. Its description in RNAcentral is "partial 16S ribosomal RNA". It matches the Rfam family "Bacterial small subunit ribosomal RNA", at positions 524 to 776 of the family's 1533-position model. The record is from RNAcentral.